UACAGAGGGUGCUAGCGUUGUUCGGAAUUAUUGGGCGUAAAGCGCGUGUAGGCGGCCUUGCAAGUUGGGUGUGAAAGCCCUCGGCUUAACCGAGGAAGUGCGCCCAAAACUACAAGGCUUGAGUGCCGGAGAGGGUGGCGGAAUUCCCGGUGUAGAGGUGAAAUUCGUAGAUAUCGGGAGGAACACCAGUGGCGAAGGCGGCCACCUGGACGGUAACUGACGCUGAGACGCGAAAGCGUGGGGAGCAAACAGG
This 253-nucleotide ribosomal RNA is filed under the name uncultured bacterium. RNAcentral describes it as "partial 16S ribosomal RNA". It matches the Rfam family "Bacterial small subunit ribosomal RNA", at positions 524 to 776 of the family's 1533-position model. The record is from RNAcentral.